AUGGCUUCUCUGUGCCACUCACCCUCCACUUGUUUCUUUCUGGCAGAAAAACAAAAUAAAACAAAACCACCUUUUACUUGGCAAACAGACAAGGGGUUGGAGAAGUCUGGAGAAGAUGAAGCCAGGGAAACGCUGAAAAGUUUGAAGAGGAAGGAAUUUUCAUGUACUAAGCCUCUCACUGUGAGCUAACAGAGAUUUUGGGAGGUUAAGUAACUUGGCCAAGGUCAUAAGGCCGGUAAAGAGCUGAGCUGGGACUUGACCUGAGUUUGUUUGACUUGAAGCUGGAGUUCUCAAUCAUUAUGCACCCCCAGAUCUACUGAAUCCGAGUGUCUGGUGAGUAGGGAUGGACCUAGGAUUUUAAGGUGAUUCUUAGGUCAUUCUUUUAUAUCUUCAUCCCAUUUGAGAAAUGCUCACGUAGACGGUGAGGCAGAGGGAUGAACACUGUCUGUGGGGAGGAGUUACAGAGUCGAAACUGGAUCUUGAAGGAUUAAAUGGGAGUUUCCAGGCAGACUGAGGUA
Molecule: long non-coding RNA, 518 nt
Filed under: Sus scrofa (pig)
Lineage: Eukaryota; Metazoa; Chordata; Mammalia; Artiodactyla; Suidae
Description: lncRNA (ENSSSCG00070001984.1)
Source: RNAcentral